UACGAAGGGGGCUAGCGUUGCUCGGAAUCACUGGGCGUAAAGCGCACGUAGGCGGAUUGCUAAGUCAGGGGUGAAAUCCUGGAGCUCAACUCCAGAACUGCCUUUGAUACUGGCGAUCUCGAGUCCGGGAGAGGUGAGUGGAACUGCGAGUGUAGAGGUGAAAUUCGUAGAUAUUCGCAAGAACACCAGUGGCGAAGGCGGCUCACUGGCCCGGUACUGACGCUGAGAUGCGAAAGCGUGGGGAGCAAACAGG
Molecule: ribosomal RNA, 253 nt
Filed under: uncultured bacterium
Lineage: Bacteria
Description: partial 16S ribosomal RNA
Rfam family: Bacterial small subunit ribosomal RNA
Source: RNAcentral